This 511-nucleotide ribosomal RNA is filed under the name uncultured bacterium. Its description in RNAcentral is "bacterial SSU rRNA". It matches the Rfam family "Bacterial small subunit ribosomal RNA", at positions 28 to 526 of the family's 1533-position model. The record is from RNAcentral.
GACGAACGCUGGCGGCGCGCUUAACACAUGCAAGUCGAGCGAGAACCCAGGCUUCGGCCUGGGGGAAAGCGGCGAACGGGUGAGUAACACGUGGGUAAUCUGCCCUCGGCAUCGGGAUAGCCCGGGGAAACCCGGAUUAAUACCGGAUGGCCCGACAGCUCUUCGGAGCGGUCGGAAAAGGUAGCUUCGGCCUCCGGCCGAGGAGGAGCCCGCGGCGGAUUAGCUUGUUGGUGAGGUAAUGGCUCACCAAGGCUCCGAUCCGUAGCUGGUCUGAGAGGACGAUCAGCCACACUGGGACUGAGACACGGCCCAGACUCCUACGGGAGGCAGCAGUGGGGAAUCUUGCGCAAUGGGCGAAAGCCUGACGCAGCGACGCCGCGUGAGGGAAGAAGGCCUUCGGGUUGUAAACCUCUUUCAGGAGGGACGAAGCCACUCGGGUUAAUAGCCCAGAGGGUGACGGUACCUCCAGAAGAAGCCCCGGCUAACUACGUGCCAGCCGCCGCCGUAAUAC